Molecule: non-coding RNA, 77 nt
Organism: Paramarasmius palmivorus
Lineage: Eukaryota; Fungi; Basidiomycota; Agaricomycetes; Agaricales; Marasmiaceae
Source: the annotation of a GenBank genome assembly
GAUUUCCUAGCUCAGUGGUAGAGCAUCGGUUUCCAAAAGGAUCCCGAAGGCCACCCGUUCAAUCCGGUGGGAGAUCU